Non-coding RNA from Nemania sp. FL0031, 113 nucleotides. Lineage: Eukaryota; Fungi; Ascomycota; Sordariomycetes; Xylariales; Xylariaceae. The record is from the annotation of a GenBank genome assembly.
GACCGGUUGGCGCAAUGGUAGCGUAUAGACCUCCUACUUAAGCACAGUGUUAGGAAUCUGACAUUGUGUAGGAGGCCAGUCUAGGGUUGCGGGUUCGAGUCCCGUGCUGGUCG